RNAcentral lists this ribosomal RNA (383 nucleotides) under Drosophila konaensis. RNAcentral's name for it is "partial 16S ribosomal RNA". The stretch from base 259 to 383 matches the Rfam family "Bacterial large subunit ribosomal RNA", at positions 2473 to 2597 of the family's 2925-position model. The record is from RNAcentral. Lineage: Eukaryota; Metazoa; Arthropoda; Insecta; Diptera; Drosophilidae.
GAAAUAUUAACUGUUUCAUUUAAAUUUUUUAUAGAAUUUUAUUUUUUAGUCAAAAAGCUAAAAUUUAUUUAAAAGACGAGAAGACCCUAUAAAUCUUUAUAUUUUAUUUAUUUUAACUAUAAAGAUUAUUUUGGUUAUAAUAAAUUAAAAUAUUUUAUUGGGGUGAUAUUAAAAUUUAAAUAACUUUUAAUUUUAAAAACCAUUGAUUUAUGAGUAGUUGAUCCAUUAGUAGUGAUUAAAAAUUUAAGUUACUUUAGGGAUAACAGCGUAAUUUUUUUGGAGAGUUCAUAUCGAUAAAAAAGAUUGCGACCUCGAUGUUGGAUUAAGAUAUAAUUUUGGGUGUAGCUGUUCAAAUUUUAAGUCUGUUCGACUUUUAAAUUCUU